This 491-nucleotide ribosomal RNA is filed under the name uncultured bacterium. RNAcentral's name for it is "partial 16S ribosomal RNA". It matches the Rfam family "Bacterial small subunit ribosomal RNA", at positions 29 to 507 of the family's 1533-position model. The record is from RNAcentral.
GUGAACGCUGGCGGUAGGCCUAACACAUGCAAGUCGAACGGCAGCACAGUAAGAGCUUGCUCUUACGGGUGGCGAGUGGCGGACGGGUGAGGAAUACAUCGGAAUCUACUUUUUCGUGGGGGAUAACGUAGGGAAACUUACGCUAAUACCGCAUACGACCUACGGGUGAAAGCAGGGGAUCUUCGGACCUUGCGCGAUUGAAUGAGCCGAUGUCGGAUUAGCUAGUUGGCGGGGUAAAGGCCCACCAAGGCGACGAUCCGUAGCUGGUCUGAGAGGAUGAUCAGCCACACUGGAACUGAGAAACGGUCCAGACUCCUACGGGAGGCAGCAGUGGGGAAUAUUGGACAAUGGGCGCAAGCCUGAUCCAGCCAUACCGCGUGGGUGAAGAAGGCCUUCGGGUUGUAAAGCCCUUUUGUUGGGAAAGAAAAGCAGCAGGUUAAUACCCCGCUGUUCUGACGGUACCCAAAGAAUAAGCACCGGCUAACUUCGUG